AAAAGAUUAGUUAAUUUAUAACAUUAGUAUGUCAUACUAAAAUUAUUGAACAUCAAUAUCUUUUG
Molecule: transfer RNA, 65 nt
Filed under: Ephemera sp. XL-2019
Lineage: Eukaryota; Metazoa; Arthropoda; Insecta; Ephemeroptera; Ephemeridae
Description: tRNA-Asp
Source: RNAcentral